GCUAGGCAUGGUGGCACAUGCCUGUAAUCCCAGUGGCUCAGGAGGCUGAGACAGAAGGAUCAGAAUUCAAAGCUAGCCUCAGCAAAGUGAAGUGUCAAGCAACUCAGUGAGACCCUGUCUCUA
RNAcentral lists this small RNA (123 nucleotides) under Marmota monax (woodchuck). Lineage: Eukaryota; Metazoa; Chordata; Mammalia; Rodentia; Sciuridae. The record is from RNAcentral.